This 236-nucleotide long non-coding RNA is filed under the name Elaeis guineensis (African oil palm). Its description in RNAcentral is "long non-coding RNA (EGUI_LNC038483)". The record is from RNAcentral. Lineage: Eukaryota; Viridiplantae; Streptophyta; Magnoliopsida; Arecales; Arecaceae.
GCAUGUUGAUGUGAAUGUGAACUUAAACGAGCAAAUAGUGAGUAUCGUAGGCCAAAAGAGAUCUAUAGAUGAUAUUAACUAAAAGUACUAGUGGCACCAUAGACUAUGUCAUAUUGGAGAGGACAGGAUAAAUAGACUGGAGAAGGAUGGGAUCCUUAGCUCUCUUAAUCUAGAGUUGUAUCCAGCUUGUGAAUCUUGCCUUUGUAGAAAAAUGACCAAGUUAUCCUUUGUAGGGC